This 898-nucleotide ribosomal RNA is filed under the name uncultured organism. RNAcentral's name for it is "bacterial SSU rRNA". It matches the Rfam family "Bacterial small subunit ribosomal RNA", at positions 22 to 964 of the family's 1533-position model. The record is from RNAcentral.
GCUCAGGAUGAACGCUGGCGGUCUGCUUAACACAUGCAAGUCGAACGCAACCUUCGGGUUGAGUGGCGGACGGGUGAGUAGCGCGUGAGAAUCUGCCUUGGGGUCGGGGACAACCACUGGAAACGGUGGCUAAUACCGGAUAAGCCUUUGGGUAAAAAAUUUAUUGCCCCAAGAGGAGCUCGCGUCUGAUUAGCUAGUUGGUGAGGUAAAAGCUCACCAAGGCAGCGAUCAGUAGCUGGUCUGAGAGGACGAUCAGCCACACUGGGACUGAGACACGGCCCAGACUCCUACGGGAGGCAGCAGUGGGGAAUUUUCCGCAAUGGGCGAAAGCCUGACGGAGCAAGACCGCGUGAGGGAGGAAGGCUCUUGGGUUGUAAACCUCUUUUCUCAGGGAAGAAGCUCUGACGGUACCUGAGGAAUCAGCCUCGGCUAACUCCGUGCCAGCAGCCGCGGUAAUACGGAGGAGGCAAGCGUUAUCCGGAAUUAUUGGGCGUAAAGCGUCCGCAGGUGGCGAUUCAAGUCUGCUGUCAAAGCACGGGGCUUAACUCCGUUAAGGCAGUGGAAACUGAAUAGCUAGAGUGCCGUAGGGGUAGAGGGAAUUCCCGGUGUAGCGGUGAAAUGCGUAGAGAUCGGGAAGAACAUCGGUGGCGAAAGCGCUCUACUGGACGGCAACUGACACUCAGGGACGAAAGCUAGGGGAGCGAAUGGGAUUAGAUACCCCAGUAGUCCUAGCUGUAAACGAUGGAUACUAGGUGUAGCUUGUAUCGACCCGAGCUGUGCCGAAGCUAACGCGUUAAGUAUCCCGCCUGGGGAGUACGCACGCAAGUGUGAAACUUCAAGGAAUUGACGGGGGCCCGCACAAGCGGUGGAGUAUGUGAGUUAAUUCGAUGCAACGCGA